UACGUAGGGUGCGAGCGUUAAUCGGAAUUACUGGGCGUAAAGCGUGCGCAGGCGGUUCGUGAAGUCCGAUGUGAAAGCCCUGGGCUUAACCUAGGAAUGGCAUUGGAAACUGGCGGACUAGAGUGCGGCAGAGGGGGGUGGAAUUCCUGGUGUAGCAGUGAAAUGCGUAGAGAUCAGGAGGAACACCGAUGGCGAAGGCAGCCCCCUGGGUUGACACUGACGCUCAGGCACGAAAGCGUGGGGAGCAAAC
This 250-nucleotide ribosomal RNA is filed under the name uncultured bacterium. RNAcentral's name for it is "partial 16S ribosomal RNA". It matches the Rfam family "Bacterial small subunit ribosomal RNA", at positions 524 to 773 of the family's 1533-position model. The record is from RNAcentral.